GCACGUAGGCGGAUAUUUAAGUCAGGGGUGAAAUCCCAGAGCUCAACUCUGGAACUGCCUUUGAUACUGGGUAUCUUGAGUAUGGAAGAGGUAAGUGGAAUUCCGAGUGUAGAGGUGAAAUUCGUAGAUAUUCGGAGGAACACCAGUGGCGAAGGCGGCUUACUGGUCCAUUACUGACGCUGAGGUGCGAAAGCGUGGGGAGCAAACA
RNAcentral lists this ribosomal RNA (208 nucleotides) under uncultured bacterium. RNAcentral describes it as "partial 16S ribosomal RNA". It matches the Rfam family "Bacterial small subunit ribosomal RNA", at positions 567 to 774 of the family's 1533-position model. The record is from RNAcentral.